This 2271-nucleotide long non-coding RNA is filed under the name Callithrix jacchus (white-tufted-ear marmoset). RNAcentral's name for it is "lncRNA (ENSCJAG00000082598.1)". Lineage: Eukaryota; Metazoa; Chordata; Mammalia; Primates; Cebidae. The record is from RNAcentral.
UUUCACAGGUUCCUUAGGACAAUCCUGAGAGGUAAGAAUAUUAUUCUUCCUGCUUUCAUUGCCUGCAGAGGUCGUGCCCCUAGGAGCAGCAGAAUUGGAGCUUCGGUUCGCACACUUGAUUCACUAUUUCUCCCUCUUGGAUCUUGUCUUCCCAAAACCUUGCAGGGUCGUGUGGGAAAGACAAUAUAUCUUCUUAUGCUGAGGAUGGAGCAAAACUCGGAGGGAAGAGCCGGGAGAACACAGAGCAGAGGAGAUGAGCCAGGUGGACUCUGCCUGAGGCCACACUGCAGAGACCUCUUGUAUGUAAGAUCCUAAAUUGGCUCCUGGCUUAGCCAGCUUGAGUGGGGUUUUAUGUGCUUGAAGACAUUUGAACGUAUACACCAUAUUCACUUCUCCAUUCGUAUGUGUUGUUUCUUCUGCCUGAAACCUUUUUACAAUGGUUUACCCCUCUCUCCUACUCAUCCAUGAAGCCUCAACUCAGGCAUACUUCUACCAGGGGGCCUUCUAUGGUCCCUCAAGAGAAGGCAUCUUUCCUUUGUGCUCCUACACUACUGUGUGAGAAUAGAAGUAUAAUUUACUUGGGACAGUGUGGUGGCUCCUGUGGGUAAUCCCAGCACUUUGAGAGGCCAAGGAGAACCACUUGAGACCAGGAGUUCAAGACCAGCCUGGGCAACAAAGCAAGAUGCCCCCUAACCCUGCCCAUCUCUGUACAAAGUGAAAAGAAAAAAUAUUAGCCUAGCACAGUGGUGUGCACCUAUAGUCCCAGUUACUUGGGACUACCCAGGCUGAGGUAGGGAGCAUUCAUUGAGCCUACAAGUUGGAAGCUGCAGUGAGCUGUGAUUGUGCCACUGCACUCCAGCCUGGGUGACAGAGCAAGAUCCUGUCUCAAGAAAAAAAAUUGCUUGAAUAUAACUCCCACUAGACUGUAAUUGUUUGAGGAGAGAGAUAACUUUUAGCAUCCAACACAGUGCCUGGCACACAGCAAUUGCUCAGUAAAUAUCUGUUAAAAGAACAGAUAUUACUUUCAUUGAUCUAACCAUCACUUUUUAUGAUAAUAGCAAUAUUGGCAAAGACUCAUGGAAAUGAGCACUUCCCACAUGAAUAGCUGAUGGUAGAGUUUUUCUGAAUUGCAACUUGACAAUAUGUUUUAGAGUACAAAAAACAAGUAUGCCAGAAUGACACUUCUAAAAAUCUAUCAUUACAAAAGAAUCAAGAUUUAUUUUUAUGUAUGUGCAGGACUGCUCUUAAUGGUGAAGCAAUAAAAACAAGCUACAACAGUAGAAUAGACUGGUUAAAUGAAUUCUAGUAUAGCUAUAUACUGCAAUACUGCACAACCGACAUUUGUGCUUUCAAAAAUAUUUAAUCAUUUGGAAAAAUAUUUACAUUGUAUCAUUAAGUUAAGAAGCAUGUAACAAAAGCUAUAUCUAAAUGUGAUUCCUAUUUUUUAAAUGUAUAUGAACAAAGAAGACUAGAGUAAGGAACAGUGGCUGACACCUGUAAUCACAGUGCUUUGGGAGGCUGACAUGGGAUGAUCGCUUGAAUCUAGGCGUUCAAGACCAGACUUGGCAACAUAGCAAGAUCCUAUCUCAACAACAACACGAACAACAGCAAAAUCAGCCAGGCACUGUAGUGCGUGCCUGUAGUCCCACCUACUAGGGAGGCUGAGGUGGGAGGAUUACUUGAGCCUGGGAGGUCAAGGCUUCAGUGAGCCAUGAUCAUGUCACUGCACUCCAGUCUGGGUGACAGAGCAAGACCCUAUCUCUAAAAAGGAAGGAAAGAAAGAGACUAGAAACUGUGCACUAAUAUUUUAAUAGUGGUUAUCUGAAUGGUAUAAUUGUAAUUUUAAUUUCUUCUUGAUGCUUUUCUAAAUUCUCAACAACACAUAUAUAUUUUUUAAAGCUGGUAAAAUUAAUAUUAAGAAAAGAAAGCAAAGAAGGGAAGAAGGAAGAAAGAACAGCGAGAGGUGAAAAGAGAGGAGAGAAAGAAUAAGAAGAUGGGGCUCUGAAUCAGGAUAGUUGAGUUUUAAUACUAGCUUCAUCAUUAAGAGACCAUCCAGUUCAGGCUGUCAUUUAGUCUUGUCCCUCAAUAUCUCACUCAGAAAGUGGGAAUAAUAUUUACCCUGCCUUAUGGAUUUUUUUUUCUAAAUACAAAAAAGUACGUGAAGGGGCUUUGAUAAAAUAUAUGCAUUUUGUAAUAUCAGAUGGCAUUUUUAUUCACACAGAUAUUGUUUAAUCACAGCUACCCUUUUUUUUUUUGAUUUUUUAUUGGAUU